Molecule: RNA transcript, 4878 nt
Organism: Peromyscus californicus insignis
Lineage: Eukaryota; Metazoa; Chordata; Mammalia; Rodentia; Cricetidae
Gene name: cytochrome b5
Exons: 5
Source: RefSeq, a predicted model, not a curated record
UCCCUGCCCAGUUAGAGGCGCCACCUCACGGUCCUGGGCAUCGGUCCCGGUAAGGCUGGGAAUGUCCCGGGCGGAGGCGGCUCAGACUUGAGUAGCGCACCACCCUGCACGGCUGUGUUGCAGGGCCCGGGAGGCUCACUGUUCCGAGAUGGCCGGGCAGGCAAACCAAGAUGUGAAGUACUACACCCUGGAAGAGAUUCAGAAGCACAAAGACAGCAAGAGCACUUGGGUGAUCCUGCACCACAAAGUGUACGAUCUGACCAAGUUUCUGGAAGAGCAUCCUGGUGGGGAAGAAGUCCUAAGAGAGCAAGCUGGGGGCGAUGCUACUGAGAACUUUGAGGAUGUUGGGCACUCUACCGACGCGCGAGAACUGUCUAAAACAUACAUCAUCGGGGAGCUCCAUCCAGAUGACAGAUCCAAGAUAGCCAAGCCUUCGAGUAAGAAUUUAUGAGAACAGCCAGCCAGAGGUCCUGAGAAGUCUAAGCAGGCAUGAGUUAAUUCUGGCCUGGAAGGAAGGAAGGCUGAGGGAAGGUUUUGCUUAAAAAUUGACAGCAAGAAAGCUGAGCUUUUCCACUGUGCUCUGAGCUUCUGGUCCUCGUGGAGAAGGCACACAGGACGAGCGUCUCUGAGCUUGCAAUGAGUACUGGAAAGUCCAUUGUGCCGUUUCUGCCACCACGAUGCUGUUUGCUGUGCCUGACAUCAGUAAUUCCACAGUGUGUGUGUGUGUGUGUGUGUGUGUGUGUGUGUGUGUGUGUGUGCACGUGUGUGCGGAUGUGCCGUGCUUACUCCGACUCUCACACAGUGCAAGAAGAGCCAUGUGUGUGCUUUUCAGUACAUGGCGAUUUAACUUCUGUUUUCCCCUGUCCUGUUCAGAAUGAGAACACACUUAACCCUGGUGAUAGGAGUGCUUCAGGAAGAUUUAAAAAACAAAAAACAAAAACAAAAUGGUGUUGAGAAUUUGCAUGCUGUCUGUGACAGUUGCUCAGAAUCUGACUAGUACAUGGUUUUUGUGGCUGUUUUACAGGCAGCUGAAACACUGGAGCACCAAUUUGUCCCAUGUGUAUCCUGCCUCCCCCCCCCCCCCGACCCAAGAGUCUGUCAGGGAAAAGUCUGUUUCUGUCCUGUGAGAUGUUUAGUAUGUUAAUGGUUUUGUUGUAAGUCAUUCACCUGCAGGAAAACAGGCUUGGGGGAGGUUUGUUUCCUGAGCUUUGGUCUGCUGCAGGCUAACCGCAUCUCUAACCGUAGUGCCUGUGCAGGUGUGGGGUGGUAAGCAUGUCUCAUACCCCGGACCACUGCAGGCCCUUGUCCAUUUGUUCUUAGUAACGUGUUCAUGGUGCAGCUGUGUAUCUCGGAGUGCUUGCCCAGCAUGCAUGAGGCCCUGGGUUCAAUCUCCAACAACUGGCCAUUAUUCUGCUCACCUGUAAUCCUGAGUGCUUGUGAGAGUGAUUACAAUGAUUACAGGAAGACCAGAAAUCACCCUUGGCUACAUCGUGAGUUUGAGGCUAGCCUGGGAGGCCUGUCCCAAAGGGCAGUGUGUUCCUGCUAUGUUUGCUGUUCGCUGUGGGUGUCUAGUUUUCUAUUUGCAUUUGUAAUCACUUUGAUGUUUGGGAUAGCUGGUGGACAGAGCACAGAGCAGGAUGAAUUCUGGGAUUGGCACUGUCAGCAUUACUGAAAGCCCCCCUGCCCAUCUUUGCAGGAGGGAGCUGCUCUCAGUAAGACACUGGGCCUUCAUUCCAUCACUCAUGGUUCAGUGGGUGUGGAACCUCUCGCUGGCAUCUGCAUCUACUCACUGUUCAAAGGAGAUACUUUUACUCUCAAGAUUUUACAGAUGGACCGACUUUGGACUAUUUUAUUGUUUUAAAGCAAACAAAUGAAAAAAACCUUUGUUCCCUAUUGUGAUUUUGCUUAAACAGGAGCAGAGCUGGAAGAAAUGGGGGUGACCCUUGCUGGUUAUUUGAGAGGCUGGAAGCAAGGGACACAGUAGAAAAUGUGUUGCCACUUUUCUGGGGGCUUUGUUAUUUCUGCCAAACAAAACUGUGUCUUUAAUUAUUUCCCAGGGUCACAUGCAAUCGUCUUUAGGCUGGAGAAUGUGUUCUGUGGUCUGAUGUUUUUAAAUAAACAUUGUGCUUGGAAUUGGAGCGCAGCUGUAGAGCACUUCACAAGUAUGCUUAGGUGUAUGCGUUAGUCCUUGGUGUUAAGAAAAAACUAUUACUUACUUAAAAUGUCAGUUUAAUUUGGAGAAAUAUGAUGUACUGGUGAGUAUUAGCUUGAACCUGCCCAAAAGAAGCUAAAUUGCCAAGUUAAGGAAUUUACAGACGCAGAAAUUACAUGUCUUUAAAUGUAUCCACAGCAACCAAAUUCGCUUACAUAGAAGGUAUUAGUAGUAUUGGUGCUCUUCCUUGUUAUUUUCAAAGCACCGUGAUAUGCAAGGUUGUAUUUGUCUCUGAGAUCCCCAGACCUUGAGGCCCUGAAGCUCCAGUGAGCUGCUGGUGAAAAAUCACACGUCUAGCUGUGGUCUCCUCAGUUGCCGGAAUCUCUGAACUUCUUAGGAAGGCUCCGCUGUCAGGAUUUCCAGUGAAGGAGUGAGCUAGGCCACGUGAACUUCAUUGGGGUAGCUGGUUUGCAAAGGCUUUGUGGAUUUGGUAUUUUUUUUAUAAGAUGCUAAUCAUAAUUUGUACUGACUCACAUGACCUCUGUAAGUCAUUAUACACACCAUAUACCAGUUGUUAGCCUUUUUUACUACAAGUUAGAAGGUCUCCAAGUUGCACAGAAACCAGGUGGCUGAUCUUUUUGAGUUCCUUCCCUGAACCUAGCUGAGCCCCUCAGAACACUGGCCACUAGAGAAAACGGACUUCUUUAUCCCACUGCUAUGUGGUCGUUACAACUUAAAUUCUCAAGCAUUCUGGGUUUUAAGGCUAUGAAAAAAAUAGACAAUUCAAAAACUAUGUUUUUUUUUUUUUAAGUUCUACCAUUUGGAGGGUCAUCGUUACCAGUGAUGGUGGUGGUGGUGGUGGUGGUGAUAUGCUAGGACCAUUUCAUUUACUUAUAUUUAAACUUUUAAAAUAUUUAUUUAUUUCGUGUGUGUGUAUGCACAUAGGCUUGUGUGCCUCAGCACGCACACAUAGAGGUCAGAGGUCAGAGGAUAACUUUCAGGAGAACUGAUUCUCCUUCCAUCGCAUGGGCUCCAGGGAUCAGGAGAGCUCAGGUUGUCGGGCUCUGAAGCAAGUGCCUCUGCCCGCUGAGCCAUCUCGCCUGCCCUUAUGACAGCGUCUUAACUGGCGCGGGCAUGUUUGAGUCUCAGCAAUAUUUUAACCUUACGCCGGUGCCUUCGUGUUAGCCAUGCAGCCACCAAGAUGGGGGAGGCAAGGAAGGCCACCCGAGGUUGCACAGGGUCCCCUGAAAAUGCAUAAGUCCCUGCCUGUAUCACGAGCGAGUGUCUGCCUCCUCACACUAACUAUCCAGCGUGCGAUAUAGUCUUGUGCCUUCGGCGAGCUCUUUGGUGUCUUCUGUGAUUGUGUUUCUUCUAAUAAAUGAAUACUAUUUGGUUGGUGUAUCUAAUUGUCUCUGGUAGUCAGUGUUAAUCAUACUCAUGAAAAACAAUCUUGUACUGGUUAUGAAUUCCCAUGACCACCAGGAUUUCAGUCUGCUUGCAGAGGUAACAAGUGUGAAGUUUUCUUUCUAAAGGACUUGUCUUUCUUCCCUACUGUGUCAGGAACCCUAAAGGUGAUGUGUCAAGGUUGGUGUGUGUCCCCGGCCUGCUUUGCUCAUGCACCCCUAAAGUGAAUUUGCCUCUGGGGGGGGGGGGGGAGUCUCUCUAACACCCCCCGCAGGGGCGCCGCUUUGCCUUGCCGCAGACGGCCGCUUGCUUUCCCGAAGUUUUCAUCUGUGCCGCGGAGAGGUACAGCCGUGACUUUCCGAUGGCGCUGGCCUGUCUGUAGCUGCUUUUGUUGAGCACUAACAGUUUCGCCGGUGUGGAACAUGACCAGUGUGCUUCCUAACAAGUGUUAAACCCUAAACGUGUGUGCUUCUCGGGGCUGCAGGUUUUGAACGGUUUGGGAAAAUAUGUCUGUUUUUGUUUCUGUUUUUGUUUUUUUUUUUUUAUGGUCCUGGUGAAAAGGACUGUGCUCAGAAAGUGCUGGAAGGUAAACAGAGCUUUAUUGGUUGGUUAGGCAGAGUGGUUUCUGAGUUAGUCUGGGCUCUUUCUGGUGCCAUGCAGUGAGUUAAAGAAAUCUCAGAAAAGGUGGUCUAGCCUGUGACACGAAUUCUUAUUGUUUUAGUUGAGGCACUUCUAAUGUAGCAUAGGUACACUUUUAAGCCCUGUCAGAUUUGAAUGAAUUAAAUGACAUUUUACUUAAUAUUCCAUGCUUUGAAGAAUUAAAUUUCCUUUCCAAAAGACAGUAAUACAGUCUUGCAUAUGUGUCCAUGAGUAUUCUGUUUUCAGUUUUUAUGCUGAAGUGCUGAAAUGUUAAAAGUGGAUUAUUAUAUGUAUUCUAUUAACAUUUUCAAAUUAUAAAGUUUAUAUUCUUAAGUAAUUUAAGGAAAAUUGUCCUUACAUUUUCAUUUUCUUGAAAAAUGGUAAAUUUAGGCUUUUUGGUAAGAAGAACUUGGAUAUAAUUGUCCCUUUUAACAAUUUUUAAAAGAUAGAGUUGAAUAAAAUGGUGAUUUUUUUAAAAAAAAAUAUUAAAACAGGAUUUCAAUCAGGGGGAUAAAUGCUCAGAUGUAUCCUUAACUUCAUGUUUUCUUUUGUGUCCCAGGAACCUCUCAUUACUACUGUCGACUCUAAUUCCAGUUGGUGGACUAACUGGGUGAUCCCAGCCGUCUCAGCCCUGGCGGUAGCCCUGAUGUAUCGCCUCUACAUGGCAGAAGACUAACUCGCCU